AAAAAAUGGUUGUAUGAUUAGACUGUAUGAUUAGACUGGUAUGAUUAGACUGUAUGAUUAGACAAUGAAUUGUGGCUUAGCUGUGAGCUUAGCUGUGAUCACACAUUUACUAUUUAGAUGGAGUUUGGACAAAGCAAUACAAAGGAUUAUUUUAUUUUGUAUUGUGAUGCGAAAACGUUGUCCUUUGAUAGUGUUGUUUGUGGACAGACGGAAGUGCUUGCCAUUUUACUAUCGGUGUGUCACUUUAGUUGCAACUGCAUUUUAAGAUGCCAUGUGCUUGAUCAAUUUAUGCAAUACUAAAUGAAAAUUUGAACUUUUAAGGUUGAACGGUACAAGAAUCAAGCGCACAGAGAGGAUAGCCACUUACAAGAACACAGGUUAAGGUGGAUGUGUUGACGUUGAACUUACUGAGGAUGACAUUCCUGGUGAAGUUCCUGGUGCUUCACCGUUAGAACAACACAACAACCAAGCACUGAGGUACUGACAGAAAAAAGCGGAACUUGUUGAAAGCUCUCAACUUGGUCAGCCACACUCACUCCAGUCCAGGCCAGCAACUGCAUGUCUCACAGGUUGUGGAGACCCCUCACAAGGCCAGCUCUACCCGCUCUAACGGUGUUACGCCAAGCACGUCUGCUGAAGUCCCUCUAUCAGUCUCUAAUGUCCCUAUCCGAAGUGCGACUAAUCCAGUCCACAGUACAACAGGCCUUCUGUUUCAGCCCACUUUCAAUACCUUUCAGAGUGGAGAAGGAUACUUUUUCUCGUUUGACGUUGACGUGUGUCAAACUGGACUUGACUAUGCUGCUCUUUGUUUCUACUUUCCUCACGAGUGCAAAGUGUGGUGUGGUUUGGAUAUCCUACGGAAGUUUGGUCGUGUGUUACUUGUCCAGAUGUCUGUUUCAUACCGAUAGAUCAUCUCAAGG
Long non-coding RNA from Halichondria panicea, 920 nucleotides. RefSeq lists it as uncharacterized. The record is from RefSeq and is a predicted model, not a curated record. The transcript has 5 exons. NCBI's taxonomy places the organism in Eukaryota, Metazoa, Porifera, Demospongiae, Suberitida, Halichondriidae.